GCCUCCCUAGCUCAGUGGUAGAGCAUCCGCCUUGUAAGCGGAAGGUCGUCAGUUCAAUCCUGACGGGGGGCUCCA
RNAcentral lists this transfer RNA (75 nucleotides) under Actinobacteria bacterium BACL2 MAG-120802-bin41. RNAcentral's name for it is "tRNA-Thr". It matches the Rfam family "tRNA". From Rfam's summary of the family: Transfer RNA (tRNA) molecules are approximately 80 nucleotides in length. Their secondary structure includes four short double-helical elements and three loops (D, anti-codon, and T loops). Lineage: Bacteria; Bacillati; Actinomycetota; Actinomycetes. RNAcentral also lists the same sequence under 18 other names. The record is from RNAcentral.